Non-coding RNA from Vicia faba (fava bean), 234 nucleotides. The record is from the annotation of a GenBank genome assembly. NCBI's taxonomy places the organism in Eukaryota, Viridiplantae, Streptophyta, Magnoliopsida, Fabales, Fabaceae.
AUGUUAUGUGUGAACAUGAGGAAGAAAUUCCAGAGAAUAACAGUGACCAUGUUUGCAAACAAUAAACAUUUCUUUAGCAAUAUCUGCCAUGUUAAGGAUUUACCGUCUUUGAUUGAAGAUAAAACAAAUGGUGGCCCAUUCUUGGCCAGACACCGCCAACCAAGGAUUAGAGGAUUAUUGACAUCUCUCUUUCACUCCAAAACACUUGCCAUUUCAGUAGGAAUUGGUGCAUGA